UACGGAGGGUGCAAGCGUUGUCCGGAUUUAUUGGGUUUAAAGGGUGCGUAGGCGGCCCGUUAAGUCAGCGGUGAAAUCCCAGGGCUCAACCCUGGAACUGCCGUUGAUACUGGCGGGCUUGAGUUCGGUCGAGGCGGGCGGAACUGGUGGUGUAGCGGUGAAAUGCAUAGAUACCCUCCAGAACCCCGAUUGCGAAGGCAGCUGACUAGGCUGUAACUGACGCUGAGGCACGAAAGCGUGGGGAGCGAACAGG
This 253-nucleotide ribosomal RNA is filed under the name uncultured bacterium. RNAcentral describes it as "partial 16S ribosomal RNA". It matches the Rfam family "Bacterial small subunit ribosomal RNA", at positions 524 to 776 of the family's 1533-position model. The record is from RNAcentral.